Molecule: ribosomal RNA, 253 nt
Filed under: uncultured bacterium
Lineage: Bacteria
Description: partial 16S ribosomal RNA
Rfam family: Bacterial small subunit ribosomal RNA
Source: RNAcentral
GACAGAGGAUGCAAACGUUGCUCGGAAUUACUGGGCGUAAAGCGCUUGUAGGUGGCUCGGUAAGUCAGGUGUGAAAUCCCGGGGCUCAACCCCGGAAGUGCAUUUGAUACUGCCGGACUUGAGUACUGAAGAGGAGAGUGGAAUUCCCGGUGUAGAGGUGAAAUUCGUAGAUAUCGGGAGGAACACCAGUGGCGAAGGCGACUCUCUGGGCAGAUACUGACACUGAGAAGCGAAAGCGUGGGAAGCAAACAGG